This 360-nucleotide long non-coding RNA is filed under the name Ananas comosus (pineapple). RNAcentral describes it as "long non-coding RNA (ACOM_LNC034349)". Lineage: Eukaryota; Viridiplantae; Streptophyta; Magnoliopsida; Poales; Bromeliaceae. The record is from RNAcentral.
CCAUUCUAGAAUUUUUUUUAUAAAUAAUCCUAUCGAUUUUUAUAAUUAUAAAAAUAGUUUUUUUUUAAAAAAUAAUUAUAAAAAUAGAACUCUAAAUACGGUGAAUGAUUCACCGCAUUCAUAACUCCUCAUUAGGAGUAGAAAAAGAAUAAAAAUGGUGAAUGGUUCACCGCUUUUACCACCGUAGAAAUAUAGAAAGAAGUGAGAAAAAGAAAAAAAAGCGGUGAAUGGCUCACUACUUUUAAAAGUAGUGAACCAUUCAUCGCUUUUAUAGAAUCAUAUUUAUAAAUGAAUAUUUAACAUGUCUAUUUUUAGAAUAAAAUUUUAGAAGACUAUUGCACUAAAAAACCUCCCAUUCUA